Humulus lupulus (European hop) is the source of this 4235-nucleotide long non-coding RNA. RefSeq lists it as uncharacterized. The transcript has 9 exons. NCBI's taxonomy places the organism in Eukaryota, Viridiplantae, Streptophyta, Magnoliopsida, Rosales, Cannabaceae. The record is from RefSeq and is a predicted model, not a curated record.
UCUGUCCUUAAGUUAUCUAAAACAAAUUCAGACACCCUUAUCAUAUACAGAGAAUUUCAACACAUUAAGAGUUCUGAGGAGUCUACUUGCUACCUCACCGCCUUCGUUUGAAUAGUUCUGAGGAGUCUACUUUCUACCUAAACUCUACCUGUUUUACACAACCCCCUAAUAAGGGUCCCAUAAGUGACAAUGUCUAGUUCACACCCAUUUGAAGUCAUGUUUUGAACAAUAUUAGCCGCUUUUUUUAUAUUUCCAUUCCUGCAGAAAUAUGUGAGAAGAGAAUUGUAGGUGAACUCGUCAGGGACCAAGCCUUCCAUUAUCAUCUGAUCCAUUAGUUGAGACGCUGCCUCCACUCCCCUGUUCUGACAUAGCCCAUCAAUUAGAGUGUUGUAGGUCACUGCGUCUCUUGAAAUCCCCUGUAGUUUCAUCUGAUCAAAAAUCUCAUCAGCUUCUUCUAUCCUCUUAUUUUUGCACAACCCAUUAAUCAAAGUAUUUUAUAUUACCACAUUUCAAGCGCAAUCACUAGAUUCCAUUUCUUUAAGCAGAUUCAAAGCUUCCCUAAUCCUCCCUUUAGAACAGUGGCUAUCAAUCAAUAUGUUGUAAGUAAACUCAUCAGGCUGGCAACUUUUGCUCUUCAUCUCCUUGAAUAGUUCCAUUUCAAGGUCAUGUUUACUGGUCAAGCAGAGACCUUGAAUCAGGGAAUGGAAGGUACAAGCAUCCGGUAAAAUCCCCUUGCUUGUAAGAACACGAGCAAGUUCAGUUUCCUCUUUGGCCUGGUUCUCCUUACACAAGGUACAAAAAUGUUUUGAGAGAAAGAUACAACAACUGCAAGAACUUCAGGGUGACAUUUGGGAUUAACAUCCAUGGAAUGUCUCGUCUGUCGAGCAGAAUAAGUACACAAAGACGUCGUCAGCAGCUGCUUUCCCUCCCCAGGGAGACAUGACGGUUAAACGAAAACAUGAGAAUGCUGCUAAGAAGGAUGAAGGGGCUGUUAAGAAAGAGAAUUUGGAGGAUCUCAUAUGCAAAGGCUCUUGCUAGGAAGUGGAAGGCUGCAUUCAAUUUGGUUUCCACAAGUAAGUCUAAGAAGCAGAAGGAGGUUGUUCCAUCUGAUUUGGAAGAGUCAGAUGGAAAUGUCAAGGAGGAGAUUACUGAAGAUGAUGAAGGGGCAUUUGAAGUUGAUUCACGCAAAAUGAUUAAUCAGUGCUCUUUCGAAAGGAUUGUGCGGAUAGUGGAUACAUUGACGGAUGAACUGAAGGCAAUGGUAAGAGAGGAUGGAUUGGGGCAUAUUUGAGGGUUGAUUACCCCUAUAUACAGUGAGCUAGUUAAAUGGCUCUUUGACUGCGUAGAUGUUGGUGGCAACUGCCUUAACUUAUAUGAGAAGAAUGUGCCAAUGUCCCAAAAAAAAAAAUUCAACAGGUUAUGGAGGUUCCUGAUGGGAAUGUACUGAUCGACAUUGACACAAAGGUCGGUGAUAUGGAGUUGGCGGUGCAACUAAAUAGUAAAAAUAGAAUCAGCUUACAGUAUUGGAGAAAUAAUUGUUAGAGUAUGGUGAGGUUGGUAGUUUUUUCUUGGCGAGUUUUGUCCUUGUCAUCCUUGGGAGCAUCCUGGUUCCAGGUACCGAGAACACCAUGCAUUCUAGUUAUAUCGGUGCCGUUAUUGAUCCUGCCAAGAUGAAGUCUCAAAACUGGGCAACUCAUGCAUACAAUGAAAUCUGUGGGGAAGUAUAAAGCUCACCGCUUAAUUCAUGCAAAAGGUUGUUGUGCCUUUCUACAGUUGUUGUACUUCAAUCAUAUUGACAUUCCGAAUAUGGUUGUCGACCAUAGUGUCUCCCCAAUAAGAUUUUGGACGGACAACAAGGAAAUCAGGAGUCAAGACUUAUGUAUGUCAUAAUGGGGAGUAUGGUGCCUACAAAACAGUUUGUGUUGUUGAUGAACUGCAUGCAAAAUGAGUCAUCAAUUGGAUUCGUUGAAUUCAAAUGAGGCAAGCAGUGUGAAUGAGGAUGUCAGGUGCUUAACUAACAAGGUUAUGACAAUGAGUCAUCAAUUGGAUUCGUUGAUGACAACGAUUGUAGGAUUACCCGUGUCAAUCAAGGUUAUGAUUGCAAGCGAGCUUAAGCAUCUUAAAGUCGGCACUUCGGUGGUGGAUGCCCCAGUGAAAGAGGGUGAUGUGGGUGCGAAAGAUAUCGAAGGCCAAUCUGUGCAUGAUGCAGGUGUAGAUCACAUUAUGGACGUGACCAAUGUUUAUGAAGAUGUCAAUGCUUUUGGAGACUCUUUUAAUAAUCCAAAGGAACGCCACAAGUGGGGGGACGUUGGUUAUGCGAAUUUUCAGUCAAAGGAAGGGACUGUAGUUGGAUCUUUCAAGCUCUCCAUGGUUGUAUCCUUGCUGAUGUUCAAACUGGUUGAGUUUGUCUACAACACAUACCUUCAAGAUUUUUGUGUUAGGUACAUUGUGUGUGAUUACGGGAUCUAUUAUUGGAUUGUGCCUGCAUAAGGUCUCUUGAGCCUGAGCAAAUGAUAAUAUCAGCCUUCGCCAGAAUUAUGACAUUUAAAGAGCGAAUGAAGUACCCUAACACCACACCUUUGAUUUGGUACAUUCCAGCCAACAUUUCUGUAAGGACCCUUUUAUUAUUUUCUUUUUGUAUUUAUUUUUUUGAUUGACUGAAAGAGAGUAGAUGUGACUGGUUUUAGAUAAUAAUUUUCAAAUUUGAUCUUAUUGAUUAAAAUUUUCAUUUUCUUAUUAUAGAAUAUUUUUUUUAAAUUAGAGAGAUUGUAGCUGGAUUUCCUUAGUUAAACAGAUUUCACCAUAGGUUAUGGCCUUUGUGAUCAAAACCCUCUGUACUUUUAUCAUGUCAGAGUAUAAGUUUUUAUUUUUGAAUUCAAAGGUACUCUGCCUAAUUUUUUAACCUUUAUUUUAUCCCACAAAAAUAUCUUGGGGAUGAUUUCCCAGUUCGUAGAGUAGCUUAUGAAAACAAAUGGAGGGAGUUUCACUAUGGUGAUUUCCGGAGAUGUCAAGGGGUAACAAUUUUUUUUUUUAUGUUUGCAAUUUUCCUUUGAACAAAUACAUUUGAAUGGUAACUUUUUUAUUACAAAUAACUGCUUCUAAUACUUGGUAAAAUAAUGUGUAGAUGUUAAUACCCGUUUUCAUCAAAGAGGGUCUAAAUAUGGUUAAGUAGUUCAUGGCAAGAGUAAAAAUAAGGCCAAUAAACAAACAAUAAUUUGGGACCCUAGAGAUACAGAUAGUGAGAAAGAAACCAAAGUUGAACAUACCCAAGAAAUGGUAAUGUGCUGCAUUUAGUAAAACUUACAAGGGAAUAUUUAUUUUAAUAUGUGUACUGACUAUGAUAUUUGUUCUAUGUUCCUUUGAUGGAUUUUUUCCGUUGGCCAUAUUGGAUGUGUUGUUCAAAUAUGAAAUUUGUGGCACACAAUCCCAAGGCUUCACAUUUACUUCCUUUGAAAUUGGGUUUGAGAGCGGUUUGCCCCAACAUGAGAAUGACUUCGACUCCAGCGUACCUGUUUUAAAGUUUAUGGGAGCGUUAGGUGAUGGGAAUGGCAUUGUGUACGAGUACCGUUUCGGUAACGAAAUAAUAUCACACGAGAAUAAAUGUAUGGAGCAAGUAGUACGGGAAAUCGAUGACCAUUUUUCAGUUUGAAUUUGGUUCCUCUAGUGAAGCUACAACUACUUCUUUAUUGGCCAAAGAUGAUGCUAAACAGGGACUACUUUGCAGUCCAAGCAAGGACAGCCCUGACAAGAGAUUCUCUACAAAGAAAGGCCAGCGCGCAAACAUGAUACCAGCUGUUUCAUCUAGGACAAGAAGUGCAGCCAAAUACGUCGUUGCACGUAAGCUCAAUGUUGAGGAGACUAUUCCUUCAGUCCAUUCUCUUUUGAUUUGUUUUUCCAAGAUUGCAGUUUCUGUUGUGUGGGCAAUUUUUUUGGUUCUUUUGGUUGAAGCCUCAAUUAAUUGGAACCUUUUUAGGUUGUAUUGGUUGCAGUCUUUGUCUUUUGGAACUAUGUCUCUGUUAGGCAGGAUUAGUUUGUUAUGUAAUUUCGUUUAUGUAAGUUUAUUACGUUGGCUCCUCAGACUUUGGGAGGGAGUAAACCUUGAGCAAAUAGACAUUUUUUUUACUAUAAGUGUAAGUGGUAGAACUCUAACAAGUUAUAUGCAUCUUAAAAAUAUCAUACAAUCAAAAUUUAUUACUAAAUAUCAUUUUUAAUAAAUAAAGUUACAUUCGUAGAUA